AACAGGGAUUGCCUUAGUAACGGCGAGUGAAGCGGCAAUAGCUCAAAUUUGAAAUCUGGCGUCUUUGGGCGUCCGAGUUGUAAUUUGUAGAGGAUGUUUCGGUAUUAGCUCUAAUCUAAGUUCCUUGGAACAGGACGUCGCAGAGGGUGAGAAUCCCGUACGCGAUUAGUUGCUUUUGCCAUGUGAAGCUCCUUCGACGAGUCGAGUUGUUUGGGAAUGCAGCUCUAAUUGGGAGGUAAAUUUCUUCUAAAGCUAAAUAUUGGCCAGAGACCGAUAGCGCACAAGUAGAGUGAUCGAAAGAUGAAAAGCACUUUGGAAAGAGAGUUAAAAAGUACGUGAAAUUGUUGAAAGGGAAGCGCUUGCAAUCAGACCUGCUUGCAGUUGUUCAUCUAAACUUUGUUUAGUGCAUUCUUCUGUAAUCAGGCCAGUAUCGGUUUAGGCGGUUGGAUAAAGAUUUUAGGAAUGUAGCUCUCUCCGGGGAGUGUUAUAGCCUAAUUUAUAAUACAGCCAGCCUAGAUCGAGGACCGCGCUUCGGCUAGGAUACUGGCGUAAUGGUUGUAAGCGGCCCGUCUUGAAACACGGACCAAGGAGUCUAACAUCUGUGCGAGUGUUCGGGUGUUAAACCCGUGCGCGUAAUGAAAGUGAACGGAGGCGGGAACCCUUUUUUGGGCGCACCGUCGACCGAUCCUGAUGUCUUCGGAUGGAUUUGAGUAAGAGCAUAGCUGUUGGGACCCGAAAGAUGGUGAACUAUGCUUGAAUAGGGUGAAGCCAGAGGAAACUCUGGUGGAGGCUCGCAGCGGUUCUGACGUGCAAAUCGAUCGUCAAAUUUGGGCAUAGGGGCGAAAGACUAAUCGAACUAUCUAGUAGCUGGUUCCUGC
Molecule: ribosomal RNA, 878 nt
Filed under: Mytilinidion didymospora
Lineage: Eukaryota; Fungi; Ascomycota; Dothideomycetes; Mytilinidiales; Mytilinidiaceae
Description: partial large subunit ribosomal RNA
Rfam family: Eukaryotic large subunit ribosomal RNA
Source: RNAcentral